Molecule: unclassified non-coding RNA, 1099 nt
Filed under: Hevea brasiliensis (rubber tree)
Lineage: Eukaryota; Viridiplantae; Streptophyta; Magnoliopsida; Malpighiales; Euphorbiaceae
Source: RNAcentral
UUGGGGUUGCUUCUUCUGCCCUUUCAAGUAAUUUGGGGUUGUUUGGAGUGCUUCCAUCAUUGACUUUGGGGCUGUUAGCUUAUUAUGCACCCAUUGUUGUUUUCUUGGUGUUUGCUAGGCUUAAUGGACAAGUAGUACCCAAGGAAAAACAUGGGGAGUAUUAUUGUGUAUGGAAACAGGAUAGCUGGGUUCCUGCUUAUUACACAUUUGCAAGUCUAACCAUGCUUUGGUCAGCCACAUCAAUGAUUGAGGCACAUGUUUAUGUCAUAAGUGGAACAAUUGCACAAUGGUACUUCUCCAAGGAUGAAUCAGGUCCCAAAAGGUCUAUGAGAAGUGCUUUGAGAAAUGCAUUUGGUCCAUCCUCAGGCACAGUAUGUUUCUCUGGGUUACUGAUCGCUGUGGUUCGUGUUGUUCGUUCCAUAGUUGAUAAUGCAAAUCAAGAAGAUUCUGGAAUUGUGAACCUUAUUCUGCGAUUUUGUGCCAAUACCUUGCUGUCAGCGGUUGAGUUUGUGAAUAAAUUCACCAUAAACUUUGCUGCUAUAACUGGUGAAGCAUACUGCACUUCUGCUAAGAUGACAUAUGAACUUCUAAAGCGCAAUCUUCUCUCUCCAGUGUUUGUGGAGACCGUCUCCACUCGUUUACUGGCUGGAAUAAUCUUUGUUCUCUCAACAAUAUAUGCAAUAUUGGUUUUUGUUGUGGUAAGAGCUGCUAGUAAUCUUGAUGUCGAAUCAUACCUUAUUGCUGUUCUGGCAUGGCUGCUGCUGAUGGUGAUUCUUGGUUUCUUCGUCUUUGUUUUGGAUAACGUUAUAGACACAGUAUAUGUUUGUUAUGCGAUUGAUAGAGACAGAGGAGAGGUAUGUAAACAGGAGGUUCAUGAUGUUUAUGUGCACCUUCCUAUCAGUAGGAGUCAUAGUUCUGCCUCUUAUGGUGCCAGAAGUCCCCUGCUUGUAUAAGGACUUCAAUGUGUUGUAGUCUGUCUGUAAUUCUUUUUCUCCUUUUUGGUUUCGGUUUCCCUUUGUAAUUGCCGGAUUGUCCUGUUAGGCAGGUUGUGCAGUGAGGUAAAUUUAUUCUGUAUAACAGUGUUUUUCCAAUAAAAAUG